AACGCGAAGAACCUUACCUGGGCUAGACAACGGCGGACCGCCUGAGAAAUCAGGUUUUCCCUUCGGGGACUGCCGGUUCAGGUGUUGCAUGGCUGUCGUCAGCUCGUGUCGUGAGAUGUUGGGUUAAGUCCCGCAACGAGCGCAACCCCCGUCGCAUGUUGCCAGCAUUUAGUUGGGGACUCAUGCGAGACUGCCGGUGACAAACCGGAGGAAGGUGGGGAUGACGUCAAGUCAUCAUGCCCCUUAUGUCCAGGGCUACACACGUGCUACAUUGGCGCGUACAGAGGGCUGCGAUACCGCGAGGUGGAGCGAAUCCCUUAAAGCGCGUCUCGGUUCGGAUUGCAGGCUGAAACUCGCCUGCAUGAAGGCGGAGUUGCUAGUAAUCGCGGAUCAGCACUGCCGCGGUGAAUACGUUCCCGGGCCUUGUACACACCGCGCAUA
This 441-nucleotide ribosomal RNA is filed under the name uncultured bacterium. RNAcentral's name for it is "bacterial SSU rRNA". It matches the Rfam family "Bacterial small subunit ribosomal RNA", at positions 958 to 1398 of the family's 1533-position model. The record is from RNAcentral.